RNAcentral lists this ribosomal RNA (254 nucleotides) under uncultured bacterium. Its description in RNAcentral is "partial 16S ribosomal RNA". It matches the Rfam family "Bacterial small subunit ribosomal RNA", at positions 524 to 776 of the family's 1533-position model. The record is from RNAcentral.
UACGGGGGGAGCAAGCGUUGUUCGGAUUUACUGGGCGUAAAGGGCGCGUAGGCGGUCAGCACAAGUCAGUUGUGAAAUCUCCGGGCUUAACUCGGAAAGGUCAACUGAUACUGUGCGACUAGAGUGCAGAAGGGGCAACUGGAAUUCUCGGUGUAGCGGUGAAAUGCGUAGAUAUCGAGAGGAACACCUGCGGCGAAGGCGGGUUGCUGGGCUGACACUGACGCUGAGGCGCGAAAGCCAGGGGAGCAAACAGG